This is a long non-coding RNA of Suncus etruscus (white-toothed pygmy shrew), 286 nucleotides long. RefSeq lists it as uncharacterized. NCBI's taxonomy places the organism in Eukaryota, Metazoa, Chordata, Mammalia, Eulipotyphla, Soricidae. The transcript is spliced from 3 exons. The record is from RefSeq and is a predicted model, not a curated record.
UAAGCUCUUUCCCCCUUACUUGAAACAGGUGUUCAUGAAAAAAAUGCACAAAAUCCCGAACGAGAGGAAUAAUUCAUGAAGAAGGGGCAGGAUCCGUGGGUCAGAGAACACUGGACCAGUUUGGCCCACCCAAGGCAGAAGGCCUAUCUAUCUCCAUCGGAGUCCUCCAAGCACUUAGAAGUCUCUGUUCAUCUCCACCAUGAGACCACAGCUGGCCUUUGGCAGGACUCCAAGCACAAUCUGGUCAGCCUCGAUCUAGUUCAUGGAGGAGCCUCCGUAGAUCCUG